UCAAAACACAGAUCCUUCUCUCUGAUCUCAUGGAGCAGAAUGACGAACAUUUCGCUAGGAUUCUGCUAGAUGUGCUUCAUGCAGAGACCAAAACCUCAACAAGUGAUCAAAUGGUGAUCUCCUGGGUGCUUAUUCUGUUGAGGCGUUUGAUUAUAAGUAGUAACCCUAUUUUGGAAGUUUUUUUAGUACGAGAUUUGGCCCUUCUCCUGGAACUGCUCAAUCUGCCAUCCAAAGAGCUAAUGAUGCUGGUCAUGCAUUUGCUAGGAUCAGUGCUCAGUCAUGCAAAGGUGGAAGAUGAAAGCAGUAAAUAUUCUCUGGAUGAGUUGAAACCUUCUGAUCUUCAAAAUCUUUGCAUUUUUUUUCCGCAAGGACAGGCUACCAAGACAUCUUUUCAACUUAGCUCGACAGGUCAUGCAAGUUUUGAGCAGGUCACAUGAGACUCAUCGGGAUUUUUUCAUUCAAAAACUCUCAGAAAUGGCAAGAACCUUGAUCAAUGAUGUUUCAGUGACCUAUUGGAAAAUACUUGAUCUUCUAGACUUGCUGAUUAAAAAAAGAAGACCUUGUGAGGCUGAACCUGGAUCUACAACCUGUCUGGAAGUUAGUGUGUGAGGCAAUUGAUGAACUGAGUGGUCAAGCAACUUCUUCGCCUCUUUCUGUUUUCAAAAGUUUCUUUAGAUUUUGUGAGAUUACGAAGGAAGAUCAUCUCAAGUUUGCAGAGCCUCAUAUGAUUAUGUUGAAUCAACUCAUCAGAGACGAUAUUUAUCUGCUGGACAACUCGUUUUCUUUGUUGUGGAAGACGCCAGAAGUGAUUGAUUUCGCCAACAAAAGGAAAUAUUUCAAGGCAAAGGUUUUUGAAGAUGGGCCAAGCUAUUUCGAACCAACACUGGAGAUCACGUGUUUAGGCAGUCCUACCAUCUGUUUGAAAACUGCAACACGUUAGAUUUAAGAAGCAGUAUACGUGUGAGCUUUCACGGUGAGGAAGGCAUUGAUUUAAAUGGUCUGACUAGAGAGUGGUUUCAACUGCUGUCAAAGGCUUUAAUUGUUCAAAGGAAUAAGGCAGAUGCGUUGGAACCUGAGAAUCUAAUUUCUAAAGAUGCAAAAGAACCCGAGCUUUUCAGUGCUGCUGAAUGCUCACUGACCUAUCAGCCAAACCUUCAAUCUCGUGUCCACCCUUCGUACUACACAUUCAUCGGCCUGUGUGGUGGCGUUUGCAUUGUCAUCCAAUAACAUCAUGGAUGUUACGUACAUUCACUCCUUCGUUUUAUAAACACAUGAUUGGAGAUGACAUCACAUAUCAUGACAUGAAGACUAUGGAUCAUGAACUGUUCAACGAGUGGGAAAAACUGUUGCAGAACCCACAAGUGAUAGAGUCAUUCGGCUUGUGGUUUCGUGACAAUGAUACCAUGGUGACCAAAGAAAGUGUUCAAAAGUACAUUGAAGAGGAGGCAUAGUACUUUAUGACAGGAGCUAUAGACGACAAACUCCUGGCCUUCCUCAAAGGUUUCCAUGAACUUAUCCCACAGAAGAAUGCCGCAAUCUUCAACGCCGAAGAGCUUAGGGAUGCUAUGAGUGGCAUGCCUACUAUUCACGUUGAGGCUUUGAAACAAACAGCAAUCUAUGUGAACUACGUAGGAGAUGAUGUUGUAAUUCAAUGGUUCUGGGAGGUGUUAGAGUCUUUCGAGCACAGUGACAAGGCUAAAUUUCUUGGCUUCGUCACUGGAACACAACGGGUCCCGUCAGACGGCUUGGAACUGACUAUCGUGAGAAGUGGGGCUACUAACCGUCUACCUGCUGGACAUACAUGUGCUAAACAACUAGACCUUCCAAGAUACUCUACAAAGGAGCAACUUAGGGAUAAGUUACUAAAAGCCAUUCAAGGGUGUGAUCGUUUUUGUUUUGGGUAGUGGGGUCUUUCUUUUAGAUAGACAAUCAUACUGAUUUGCUUGCUUUUUCAUUUUAUUAUAAAUUGUAGCCAUUGAUCGUUGCUAUAGAGGUGCAUGUGUGUGCCAAUGGAUUUGAACUUAUUUAUAGUCGUGUGUUAUUGAUCAG
This is a long non-coding RNA of Brassica oleracea var. oleracea, 2049 nucleotides long. RefSeq lists it as uncharacterized. The record is from RefSeq and is a predicted model, not a curated record. The transcript is spliced from 10 exons. Lineage: Eukaryota; Viridiplantae; Streptophyta; Magnoliopsida; Brassicales; Brassicaceae.